This 298-nucleotide ribosomal RNA is filed under the name uncultured Bacteriovorax sp. RNAcentral describes it as "partial 16S ribosomal RNA". It matches the Rfam family "Bacterial small subunit ribosomal RNA", at positions 29 to 334 of the family's 1533-position model. Lineage: Bacteria; Pseudomonadati; Bdellovibrionota; Bacteriovoracia; Bacteriovoracales; Bacteriovoracaceae. The record is from RNAcentral.
AAUGAACGCUGGCGGCGUGCUUAACACAUGCAAGUCGAACGAGAAAGCAUCUUCGGAUGUGAGUAGAGUGGCGCACGGGUGAGUAACACGUAGGUAACCUGCCCUUCGAUGGGGGAUAACCAGAAGAAAUUCUGGCUAAUACCGCAUAAGUUGGUAACAAGAAAGGAUGCUCCGGCAUUCGUCGAAGGAUGGGCCUGCGGAACAUUAGUUUGAUGGUGGGGUAAUGGCCUACCAUGACUACGAUGUUUAGCUGGUCUGAGAGGAUGAUCAGCCACACUGGAACUGAGACACGGUCCAG